Molecule: unclassified non-coding RNA, 329 nt
Filed under: soil metagenome
Description: partial contains 5.8S ribosomal RNA, internal transcribed spacer 2, and large subunit ribosomal RNA
Rfam family: 5.8S ribosomal RNA (bases 1-120)
Source: RNAcentral
GAUGAAGAACGCAGUGAAAUGCGAUAAGUAAUGUGAAUUGCAGAAUUCAGUGAAUCAUCGAAUCUUUGAACGCACAUUGCGCCCCCUGGUAUUCCGGGGGGCAUGCCUGUUCGAGCGUCAUUACAACCCUCAAGCUCUGCUUGGUAUUGGGCCCCGCCAGUUCUGGCGGGCCCUAAAGUCAGUGGCGGUGCCUUCCGGCUCCGAGCGUAGUAAUUCCUCUCGCUCUGGAGACCCGGUUGUGUGCUUGCCAACAACCCCCAAUUUUUUAAGGUUGACCUCGGAUCAGGUAGGGAUACCCGCUGAACUUAAGCAUAUCAAUAAGCGGAGGA